This is a long non-coding RNA of Coregonus clupeaformis (lake whitefish), 328 nucleotides long. RefSeq lists it as uncharacterized. The transcript has 3 exons. NCBI's taxonomy places the organism in Eukaryota, Metazoa, Chordata, Actinopteri, Salmoniformes, Salmonidae. The record is from RefSeq and is a predicted model, not a curated record.
GGGAAUUCCUUUGGGCAGGGCUGGAGCACAUCAUGUUGGGACCAGAGUGCACCACAAUCCUAUGCAAAGACAAUGGCCAAGCCAUAGCAUGGUACACACCUGCACGCUGUACUGGGAUAAAGCCACACCAGGCCUGGGCUGAGCCUGAUGAGAAAGUGGAGAGCUGCAGAGAGGACACUUUGUCCUGUGAAGAGGCAAGCAUCCCUGCUACAAAGAUCAACUGCCCUGACAACACACCCUUUCUUCUGAUUAAAAGGAAGAAGCAUGUCUUUAGGGUAUGCCACAGUCCAUGGACCCAGAACCCUUCAUCCAUAACCCAUCCUUUCUG